This 478-nucleotide long non-coding RNA is filed under the name Dicentrarchus labrax (European seabass). RNAcentral's name for it is "lncRNA (ENSDLAG00005028535.1)". Lineage: Eukaryota; Metazoa; Chordata; Actinopteri; Moronidae. The record is from RNAcentral.
CUCAUUGAUCCCUCAUUUUAGUAUGCCCUGCCCCCAACAUCCUGUUUAAUCAGGAAAUAUAAUCACAUUCAGGAAAGCCGAGCGGUGACGGACGUGAUUAAGUUCAUGAGAGCUCAACAAGCUUCUCCACUGUGGCUUGGGGAGGGUGAGACAGUUCACCUGGACUCUAUGGGGAGAAAGAUGAACUCUUCUGGUCUACCAUCUGCUCACCAGUCCACCUUUGGAACGCUCCCCUGGUCCCGUCAAGCUCUUGGCCUCAUCCUCCCCGACUGAAGAUCAGCCAGAUAACAUUACCUCCUGACCAAUCAGGCGCCUGGAUCCAUACCUCAUCCCACAGGUAGGCUUUCCAACAGACAGGCCAGUAGAAAGAGCGUUGCUUUCAUUGAGAGCCAACCAAUGGGAGCACAGAGAUGUGAUCCACCGCUAAAACGGGGCCAACCUGUGUUUUGUGGUGUUGUUGAGGUAAUGUGGAGUGGGG